RNAcentral lists this transfer RNA (72 nucleotides) under Camelus bactrianus (Bactrian camel). It matches the Rfam family "tRNA". From Rfam's summary of the family: Transfer RNA (tRNA) molecules are approximately 80 nucleotides in length. Their secondary structure includes four short double-helical elements and three loops (D, anti-codon, and T loops). Further hydrogen bonds mediate the characteristic L-shaped molecular structure. tRNAs have two regions of fundamental functional importance: the anti-codon, which is responsible for specific mRNA codon recognition, and the 3' end, to which the tRNAs corresponding amino acid is attached (by aminoacyl-tRNA synthetases). tRNAs cope with the degeneracy of the genetic code in two manners: having more than one tRNA (with a specific anti-codon) for a particular amino acid; and 'wobble' base-pairing, i.e. permitting non-standard base-pairing at the 3rd anti-codon position. Lineage: Eukaryota; Metazoa; Chordata; Mammalia; Artiodactyla; Camelidae. The record is from Rfam by way of RNAcentral. RNAcentral also lists the same sequence under 1 other name.
GCGGGUAUAGCUCAGUGGUAGAGCCCACGCUUAGCAUGCAUGAGGUGCUGGGUUCAAUCCCCAGUGCCUCCG